Molecule: ribosomal RNA, 372 nt
Filed under: uncultured organism
Description: bacterial SSU rRNA
Rfam family: Bacterial small subunit ribosomal RNA
Source: RNAcentral
CGAAGGUGGCAAGCGUUACUCGGAAUUACUAGGCGUAAAGGGCAGGUAGGUGGUUCGGUAAGUCUGUUGUGUAAGCUCCCGGCUUAACUGGGAGAGGUCAACGGAAACUACCGAGCUUGAGUAUGGGAGAGGGUACUGGAAUUCCCGGUGUAGCGGUGAAAUGCGCAGAUAUCGGGAGGAACACCAAUGGCGAAAGCAGGUGCCUGGACCAUUACUGACACUCAGCUGCGAAAGCUAGGGGAGCAAACAGGAUUAGAUACCCUGGUAGUCCUAGCUGUAAACGAUGCACAUUAGGCGUGAGGGGUAUCGACCCCCUUCGUGCCGACGCUAACGCAUUAAAUGUGCCGCCUGGGGAGUACGGCCGCAAGGUUG